GCAAUAUGCUAGUUUCAAAUAUAUAAAUAUUGGUAUUUUGUCAAAUAUCACUCACCCACCCUGAUGUAGAAAACAAAGAAACUCAAAGGGGAAGAGAAACAAAUCUUAAAUUUUCUAUUAAUUCUCUAUUGUCAAUAUCCAUAAUAAUAAAAAAAAUGCCUAGAUGACAUAGAUAUUUAUAGUAUAAUAACUACUCUUACUAUUACUAGGAUUAGGAAUCUCAAAAUAAGAAAUAUUAUACCAAUCUAACCAUGAAUAUAAAACCAACACUAAGAAAUUCUAAAAAAGUAAAAUGGUGCUUCCUAAUUAAAUUUCCUAAAUAAUAGAAAUCUAAACUUCCACAUUACAAUAUAAAAUCUGAAUGAAAGAUCUUAAUUGUCCAAUUAAAUAUUAAAAACAAUAAUUCUUAAUUCUUGUUUUUCUUUACUGCAUCAAAUGGCUAGAUCAAACACAGAAUCUUUUUGAUAUAUUGACCAUUAACUGGUUUUGAAAUAUUGAUCAUCAUGAAAUGGCAGCUUG
RNAcentral lists this unclassified non-coding RNA (519 nucleotides) under Hevea brasiliensis (rubber tree). Lineage: Eukaryota; Viridiplantae; Streptophyta; Magnoliopsida; Malpighiales; Euphorbiaceae. The record is from RNAcentral.